Molecule: unclassified non-coding RNA, 253 nt
Filed under: uncultured Micrococcaceae bacterium
Lineage: Bacteria; Bacillati; Actinomycetota; Actinomycetes; Micrococcales; Micrococcaceae
Description: contains 16S-23S intergenic spacer region
Rfam family: Bacterial small subunit ribosomal RNA
Source: RNAcentral
UACGUAGGUGGCAAGCGUUGUCCGGAAUUAUUGGGCGUAAAGAGCUCGUAGGCGGUUUGUCGCGUCUGCCGUGAAAGUCCGGGGCUCAACUCCGGAUCUGCGGUGGGUACGGGCAGGCUAGAGUGAUGUAGGGGAGACUGGAAUUCCUGGUGUAGCGGUGAAAUGCGCAGAUAUCAGGAGGAACACCGAUGGCGAAGGCAGGUCUCUGGGCAUUAACUGACGCUGAGGAGCGAAAGCGUGGGGAGCAAACAGG